GGUUCAAUCCCUGGCCUCGCUCAGUGGCUUAAGGAUCCAGCAUGGCCAUGAGCUGUGGUAUAGGUCACAGACUCGGCUUGGAUCUGGUGUUGCUGUAGCUGUGGUGUAGGCCGGUAACUCCAUCUCUGAUUUGACCCCUAGCCUGGGAUCUUCAAUAUGCCACAGGUGCAACCUAAAAAGCAAAAAUAAAAUAAAAUAAAAUAAAAUAAAAUAAAAUAAAAUAAAAUAAAUAAAAAGGUUUUCCCCUGCUAUUCUUGCUUUUUUUUCUUUUCUUUCAAAGGACUCUUAAGAUCAUCUCCAAGCCCUCUUUCUUAAUAGAUAUGGUUUUUGCUAAAACAGAAGUAUCUUGGUAGUUAGGUUAUAUUUAUUAUCUUACUCACCUACAUGUACAUCGGUAUUUCUCAUCACACCACGGUGAUAUUUCUAGAAAUCGUGCAUUAUAUAAUAUUGCAUGCUUUAUUUUGAAUUUCUAGUUUGUCUUUGUACUAGGCUAGAAAAAAUAUUAACUGAAGCCCAAGGUAGCUCCCUUAUGGCUUCUCUGCAAAAUGUCAAUUUGUCCUGGGAAUAAGUAACUCUCACUUCACUAACGUUUAAAUAAAUUCCCUCCUUGUUGCAGAUCAUGUCCUUCCAGAGGGAUAGCACAGUGCUGCUUACCUCUUGGAUGCUCAGUAAGAAUUAACUGGCUUUUGCAUGGCAAAUACACAUUUUUAUUAUAUUGUUUAUAUUUAUAAAGAAGGUGCCGAAAGCAAAGUACCAUGCUGCACUCUGUGCAAGGUGAAAAGAUGAGUCACCCAAAGACUAAAGGGUUGCCUUAGGACAGAAAAGCUGUGUACUUCAGGAAUUCUCCUGCAAGGUCCAUAACCCAGAAGACAUGUGUAGAUGGAUGCUACAGAAAAAGAAGAGAAAUUAGUUCUACGUGGAGGACUGAGCAGCAAGUUCGUAUGCCAGAAUCUUGUUUGUAUGAGAAUUAAUCAACUAAGAACACUUACCUAUUGAGGAAUCAGGGCAGAACGAUCAGUUUGUCUACCUGUUUUCCAUAAAGAGAGAUCAAAGCACGUUCCCUUGUAAAGCAGUCAAUGCUUUCCUUCCUUGUUUACUUACUGUCAUGUAGAUGCGCCUUGGAGAAAUGCAUAUUUUUGACUGGUGAGAAAGCAAUGAGUUACAUGUAAGUCAUUAUUAUAAAGAAGCUGUUACUCCAGAGUGAUAUUCAUGAAGGACUCCUCAUCUGGAUGCAAGGCACACCACUGCCCAAUUAAGCCUGGGGAAGAGUUGGUGCACCCUAAUAUAGGAGGAAGAGUGCAGCUUGAAUAUGGUUUUAAACUGAAAUGUAUUUCUUAUUGCAAAAGGAAAUGAACUGUGAAAGACAAAGCCAAGCAGAGAAACCAGCUCUCCAGGGCUCACCCGUGAGCCCAGCCAACAACCGGCCCUGAGCUCCCUUUGUUUUCUCUUUGAACAACCUCAUUGUCCCCUUAGCUGUGUGUCCAACAAAGGUUGUCCAGCUCUUGAACCUCUGGUGCAGGGGCGUGAGGCCUGGGGAGUUCUGUGCAGGAUGAAGUGAUUUUUGUGGACGUGUCCAGGGAGGCAUCCAGGCAGAUGCAUCUUCAGGCAUCCCACGGAGCCCCUGGCAGCUCUUACCAAGUCUCCUGCCCAACCUGCUCUUAGCCUGCUGUUGAUUCUGCCAUCAUUCAUCUCCACUCACAGGAAGGCUGGCCCUUCAGGAGAGACGUCAAAAGUAGAAAAGCAUCUGUGAGGGGAAUUCCUCAAUGUCCAGCAUGCCCUUGCCCCUAAGGAUGAAUUCCUGACUUGUUCCCAGGCGCAUCUCAUACUAGAGUAGAAUAGAAUGAAAAUCUAUUUAUAAACCCAGCUGUGAUGGUUCAUUCCAUAGGUCACCUUGACUGGGCUAUGGAGUGCCCAGAACCCUGACUAAUAUACCAGUCUUGUGAUAAUAUUGCUCGUUUUGUUGAAAUGUUCCAUCUGACACAAAUGAUACAGACACGAAUGUUAAUCUGAUUUAUUCUCUUACUGUAUCCUUGGGAAAGUUAUAAAGAGUUAGAGGUGAUGACUUCGCCAAAGCAAAUUAAAAAAAAAAAUCUGUGGUUGUAACUGGAAAUAGACAAUAAGACAUAUGACUCAUAUAUUAAUUUCUACUAGACCAUAUUGCAUCCUAAGAAACACUCAUUUCCAUGUAAAACAGAAUCGUUUGCUUUCCAUAUCUUUGUGGGGAUCUGAAAGUUUCCAGUUGUCAUUUCAAGAAUUUCUGAGGCGCAUGGGGGGGGGGUGUCUCAUUACUAAACUCUCACUAGAUUUCUCAUUUGAGUAUUGUCGGUGAUAUGUUAUCAUUUAGGCAAUAUACAUGCCUUCAAAAUAUACUGCGGCCAGAAUGACUGAAUAAAAACCACAGCAUCCUGUGGCCCGAUGGAUGUUAUUUCGUGUAUCUUCCAAAAGCCCCACAGUCUAGCAUCCGACGGUCAUUAAAGCGCCAUUCACAUCUUUGGUGGUUUUGAAAGUGUUUUAUCUUCUGGUUAUUGAAUGGUUUUUUUUAUGAUCCAGUUCACAACCUUUAGAAACCUUUCUGGGGGGGUCUCUCUUCCUCUCCAGUUUUCUCAAACACCAAGAGAGGAGGAGUUUCUCAUGCCUUUAAUCCUCACUCCUCACCUUCUCAGCAACACUCUCCAAGUCUCAGCCCCCUUGACCUUGAUCUCCUCUCCACUUCCUCUUACAUUUCUGGUCCUGUUUAUCUCCUAUUCAUUUACCUGACUCUGCCUCACAGAACCUGGAACCUGGACUGGCAAAGAAUUUGUAACGCAGGGGAGAGGAAAGGGUCGAGAGGACAAAAAUGUAAGUCUUUUUCAAGAUGAAAUCUGAAAACACUGAUCUCUCUUUUCUCUCACUGUCAAACUUAGUGGAAGCACUGCACAUUAGCCAGGGGUAGGAGCUGAUGUUAGCUGUUGCUUCCAUACCCUGGGGCAUAUUUCUUUUUUUCUUUUUUAAAUUGAAGUAUAGUUGAUUUACAAUAUUAUAUUAGUUUCAGGUAUACAACAUAGUAAUUCAAUGUUUUUUAUAGGUUAUACUCCAUUUAAAGUUAUUACAAAUUAAUGGCUAUAUUUCCCUGUGCUAUGCAAUAUAUUGUUGUUGCUUAUCUACUUUAUACGUAAUAGUUUGUAUCUGCUAAUUCCUAAUCCUAUCCUGCCCUUCCUCCCUUUCCCUCUCCCCAGUGGUAACCAGUAGUUUGUUUCCUAUAUGACUUUCUGUUUUCUUAUGCUCAUGCAUUUGUUUUAUUUUUUAGAUUUCCUAUAUAAGUGAUAACAUAGAGUAUUUGUCUUUCUCUGUCUGACUUAUUUCACUAAGGACUGUACCUUUCAAGUCCAUCCAUGUUGUUGCAAAUGGAAGAAUUUCAUUUUUUUCUUAUGGCUGAGUAAUAGCUCAUUGUGUGUGUGUGUGUGUGUGUGUGUGUGUGUGUGUGUGUGUCUCACAUCCUCUUUAUUCAUUCAUCUGUUGGAGGACACUUAGGUUGUUUCCAUAGCUUGGCUCUCGUAAAUAAUGCUGCUCUGAAAAUUGGGGUGUGAGGUAUAUUUCUUUCAUCGCAGUUGCCUGCACAGUGGCCCUGGAUUGCCCACUGGAAGAAAGCUGUCACAUCUCUGAGACUUGCCAAGCUCCAUCCAAGCUCUCUUGUGUGUAUGUUCCUGCUUUUCAGUGACCUAAGACUCUUGGACCCCUCACCCUACAUGCAGAUGGUGUCAGGCACUGACAACCAGAGGCUGUGAUAGAAUGGAAAAAAGUCCUUAUGUUUGUUCAGGGUUGGAUCCCUGCUGUACAUACUGCUGGCUCAUUUCAUCUCCCAAGACAACCCUGUGGGAUGGGCAGGGGCAAGUACAAAUAUUACUAUUCUCAUUUGAUAGCCCACCAGGCUUGGCACUUCUGUUAAAUGUUGAUGAGUGCUUCAAAGUAGUAGGAAGAGUUGUUCAGGCUAACUGUAAUUUUAUUAACUCACAUUAAGCAGCCUGGAUAUUUUUUCCUUUUUAAUACUAAAAAAGUCCAUUUUCAGAUAAGAAAUAAACAUAUUUUUUUCCACGAGAAAUCAUGCACUGCAUCUUUUACAAAGAAAAAUAUUGAAUUUAUAAGCAUACUUAUUCCGUAAUCAUUUUCUAUGAUUACUUUUCAUUUUUAUGCUAAUGUAACUAGAAUUUAUGUGGUGCGUUAUUUUUCCAUGGUGCACCUAUUCUGAUAAAUACAGAAAAAGAAAAAGCACCCAAAAAACAUUUUCUGAGAAGUGCCAUAAAUACACCUUUUUGUCAUCCUUAUUAGCAAAACAUUCUUUAUUCUCUCUUCUCUCUCUGUUUCUCUCUCUCUCGCCUCAUUAGAAACAAUCUGUAAUAGUUAGAGCUUAUUGUGUAGACUUAUAAAUAGACUUCUUUAUAGAAAUAAAGUAGAUUUGGACCUUAGUUCCCUAAAACCCCAGUCAUUCAUCUGUUUCUGUGAAUAUCCAAAGUUUGCAGCCUGUUCAAAUACAUGACCUGAUCUUUACUUAGUCUGUGAGAUUUCGAAGAACCAUUAUGCAGAUUACAAACUCACCUCUCAGUGAACUGACUGCUCUGAUUGACACAAAGGACCUUUGGGUGCCCAUGAGUGUAUGAGGGAGGCACUUAAAUGCAAGACCCUUGGCAGCCCGAGGAAUACAUCUGAGAAGAAAACAAGAGGAGACCACGACAGCUCAGAUAUCCAUACUAUAAACAUUGGCUAAACAAGGUUUCCAUAGACACCCCGUGUCUUAUGAGAUGGUGGCAAGGGGCCAAAUUAAUGGCGGGUCUGUGUCCCAGUGAGGAGGUGGGAUUUAACCCACAGUUUCUCGGUAUGAUUUUUUCCCACUGAACAUUUUUCUUUAAUAAUCAGGUUUGAGUUUGGGUUUUUUUGUCUUGUUUUGUUUUGUUUUUUUGUUUUCUGACCAGGAAAAACUAAUCAAGUGAAAUCUGUGGAAGUGUUUGCUUUCCUUCCUGUUCUCGGUACAUCUGUGAAAAGCAGUCACCUUAGGGAGCUGAGUUUGUCUGCAAUUUUUUUUUUUCUUUAAGAGAUUGAAUUAAGGUAGAUAAGAUAGAGAAAAGCCCAACAUUGAUAAAGAUUUCUGGGGAGUUUCCCUUGUGACUCAGCGGUAACAAACCAGACUAGUAUCCAUGUGGAUGCAGGUUUGAUCCCUGGCCUCGCUCAGUGGGUUAAGGAUCUGGCGUUGCUGCUGUGGCUGUGGCCAGUAGCUGCAGCUCCAGUGUGACCCCUAGGCAGGGAACUUCCAUAUGCCGUGGGUGCAGGCCU
This 5304-nucleotide long non-coding RNA is filed under the name Sus scrofa (pig). RNAcentral's name for it is "lncRNA (ENSSSCG00000059360.1)". The record is from RNAcentral. Lineage: Eukaryota; Metazoa; Chordata; Mammalia; Artiodactyla; Suidae.